RNAcentral lists this long non-coding RNA (369 nucleotides) under Felis catus (domestic cat). Its description in RNAcentral is "lncRNA (ENSFCAG00000047218.1)". The record is from RNAcentral. Lineage: Eukaryota; Metazoa; Chordata; Mammalia; Carnivora; Felidae.
CUCACGGCGUUCACGGAUAAACACACGCCCUCCGUUCACCCGGGAAGGAGCCGUGUGAUCCUCACGAGGAAUUAAACAACAGCAGCAGAGAGAGAACUGGCCAGAAUGGGGAUAUCUGAGCACUUCUGAGCACCCUGUGUCUUAAAGGCCCACUGCCCUGGAAAAUACCAGCCACAGGUUAACAGCCCCAGCUCUCGCCUAAGGGCAGACGAUUCCCGGCCUCCCACGUGCCUGAUGCAGGACCCCGAGAGGAUUUCCCAGUCCCAGGCUGAGCCCCACCUUCAAGUCCUCGGGCCUGACGGACCCCCUUAUCCCACUUGAGGGGCACCUGCGGCUGCAGCUUGGGCUUUCCAGGGUGUGCUCUAUCUG